UACGGAGGGGGCUAGCGUUGUUCGGAAUUAUUGGGCGUAAAGGGUGCGUAGGCGGCUUAUUAAGUCUAUGGUGAAAGUGCGGGGCUCAACCCCGUAUGGCCAUAGAAACUAGUAGACUUGAGUGCAGGAGAGGGCAAUGGAAUUCCAUGUGUAGCGGUAAAAUGCGUAGAUAUAUGGAGGAACACCAGUGGCGAAGGCGGUUGCCUGGCCUGUAACUGACGCUGAGGCACGAAAGCGUGGGGAGCAAAUAGG
RNAcentral lists this ribosomal RNA (252 nucleotides) under uncultured bacterium. RNAcentral describes it as "partial 16S ribosomal RNA". It matches the Rfam family "Bacterial small subunit ribosomal RNA", at positions 524 to 776 of the family's 1533-position model. The record is from RNAcentral.